GUUGAAAUGCAUCUGGAAUUGCUGCAUGAGGAAUCCACUCUGUUUGGGGCUCACAGUAAUCCCACCUCUGAAUUUCAGCACAUCAAAGGAAAAAGGAUCGCCAAACAAAGUUGCUGUCAAGUGCAGAGCUGAUUGGCCAGUAAUUACAGCUUCAAAUUCCGACCGGACUAAACUCAGAGCAGUAAGAGAGAUCCUCCCAUUUUUCACUUCAGAGUCAACUGCAAAGAUGACCUCUGUGAUAUUCGUUCCAGCUAUAUUUUCUAAUGAUAUUAUUUCCACUUUAGUAUGGGAAACACUUAUUUCAUCAAAAAUAUCAUCUGCAAGUUGCAAAAUGUUAUCAUUGACAAACAUA
RNAcentral lists this unclassified non-coding RNA (352 nucleotides) under Hevea brasiliensis (rubber tree). The record is from RNAcentral. Lineage: Eukaryota; Viridiplantae; Streptophyta; Magnoliopsida; Malpighiales; Euphorbiaceae.